UUGGUGGGUAAACCGUAAACACAU
RNAcentral lists this non-coding RNA (24 nucleotides) under Arabidopsis thaliana (thale cress). Lineage: Eukaryota; Viridiplantae; Streptophyta; Magnoliopsida; Brassicales; Brassicaceae. The record is from RNAcentral.